This 253-nucleotide ribosomal RNA is filed under the name uncultured prokaryote. RNAcentral describes it as "partial 16S ribosomal RNA". It matches the Rfam family "Bacterial small subunit ribosomal RNA", at positions 524 to 776 of the family's 1533-position model. The record is from RNAcentral.
UACGGAGGGUGCAAGCGUUAUCCGGAUUCACUGGGUUUAAAGGGUGUGUAGGCGGGCAGAUAAGUCAGUGGUGAAAUCCCCGAGCUUAACUUGGGAACUGCCAUUGAUACUAUUUGUCUUGAAUGUCGUGGAGGUAGGCGGAAUGCGUCAUGUAGCGGUGAAAUGCUUAGAUAUGACGCAGAACACCAAUUGCGAAGGCAGCUUGCUACACUGUUAUUGACACUGAGGCACGAAAGCGUGGGGAUCAAACAGG